AAGCCAAUAUGAGGAAAGUU
RNAcentral lists this small nuclear RNA (20 nucleotides) under Arabidopsis thaliana (thale cress). RNAcentral describes it as "snRNA_13354". Lineage: Eukaryota; Viridiplantae; Streptophyta; Magnoliopsida; Brassicales; Brassicaceae. The record is from RNAcentral.